AUACGUAUGUCGCAAGCGUUAUCCGGAUUUAUUGGGCGUAAAGCGCGUCUAGGCGGCUUAGUAAGUCUGAUGUGAAAAUGCGGGGCUCAACCCCGUAUUGCGUUGGAAACUGCUAAACUAGAGUACUGGAGAGGUAGGCGGAACUACAAGAGUAGAGGUGAAAUUCGUAGAUAUUUGUAGGAAUGCCGAUGGGGAAGCCAGCCUACUGGACAGAUACUGACGCUAAAGCGCGAAAGCGUGGGUAGCAAACAGGAUUAGAUACCCUGGUAGUCCACGCCGUAAACGAUGAUUACUAGGUGUUGGGGGUCGAACCUCAGUGCCCAAGCUAACGCGAUAAGUAAUCCGCCUGGGGAGUACGUACGCAAGUAUGAAACUCAAAUGAAUUGGCGGGG
RNAcentral lists this ribosomal RNA (392 nucleotides) under uncultured bacterium. RNAcentral's name for it is "partial 16S ribosomal RNA". It matches the Rfam family "Bacterial small subunit ribosomal RNA", at positions 523 to 918 of the family's 1533-position model. The record is from RNAcentral.